Molecule: non-coding RNA, 272 nt
Organism: Mus musculus (house mouse)
Lineage: Eukaryota; Metazoa; Chordata; Mammalia; Rodentia; Muridae
Source: Rfam
GCCAGGCGUGGUGGCGCACUCCUUUAAUCCCAGCACUCGGGAGGCAGAGGCAGGUGGAUUUCUGAGUUUGAGGUCAGCCUGGUCUACAAAGUGAGUUCCAGGACAGCCAGGGCUACACAGAGAAACCCUGUCUCGAAAAACAAAACAAAAAAACAAAUGAAUCUUUUUGUUUGUUCUUUUGGGACAGGGUCUCUCUGUGUAGCUCUGACUGUCCUGGAACUCACUCUGUAGAGCAGGCUGGCCUCAAACUCACAGAGAUUCUCCUGCCUCUG